GAGCGGUGAUGUCGAGUGCGAGAACGCUGGGCUGAAAGAACGGAUCAAGACCGCAUUCCGGCGCAUACAGGGUGCGGUGAGACCGAUCCCGCUUUCGGCCUCCUGAGCUGAAGCCAUGAGACUGCCUUUAACUUUUCCUAGGGCUCGUGAUUAAACAAAGCACUAGCAGGCUGUGUUACGUGUUGUUACGCGGCCGUUCUAAUCUUGAGCGAAAUGUAAUUCUACUGCCUGUUGUGCUUUACUGGAUGAUCAGUAGUCCCUAGAAGUUAUCUGAAGAAUCCUCUCACUUGCACUAAAUUUGAGCUGCUGUGCUUUGCUAGAUGAUCAGGUAGGCCCGUUUUACUGCCUCUGGAACAUGAUCGAGUUGUAGCAUUCUGGACAAUUUGUAGAAGAUAUUUGAACAAUCCUCUGAUUUGCACUAAAUUUGAGCUGAUGGAGCUGCUCUGUUUGUUUAAACUUGCGUGUGUGUCGAUCAUCAGUUUGAGUUUCUGAUGUUGGUGUUCUUGUAUCUAUGCACAUCCUGUCGAGUGAGUCUUCUUUGGUGGAGUGUGUCGGCCUCCUGAGCUGAAGCCAUGAGAAUGCCUUUUAACUUUUCCUAGGGCUCGUGAUUGAACAAAGCACUAGCAGGCUGUGUUACGUGUUGUUCCACCAAAAAGCUCCAGAUUUGUUCCGUCCCCUCUCAAUCCCCAGCAGCAGGUGUGUGAUCUAAGCAUCUCAGGUGGUUCCCCGUCAGAGUGUUAG
RNAcentral lists this long non-coding RNA (741 nucleotides) under Triticum aestivum (bread wheat). Its description in RNAcentral is "long non-coding RNA (TAES_LNC002099)". Lineage: Eukaryota; Viridiplantae; Streptophyta; Magnoliopsida; Poales; Poaceae. The record is from RNAcentral.